UCUUAGGAAGCCCUUAAACAUAAAAACCCCUGCGUUUUUCUUCACCUUUCUUUUCUCGACUGACGACGCCUCCCAAAUAUUCAGACACCAAGCAGCGGGAGAGACAGAGACUCAGAAAUGGUGACCUACAAAUUCCAUCAGUACCAGGUUGUAGGUAGAGCGCUGCCGACAGAAAACGAUGAGCAC
Nicotiana tabacum (common tobacco) is the source of this 186-nucleotide non-coding RNA. The record is from RefSeq and is a predicted model, not a curated record. Lineage: Eukaryota; Viridiplantae; Streptophyta; Magnoliopsida; Solanales; Solanaceae.